AUUUUAAUUAUUUAAAACAUUUUCUUUGUCCAUAAAAUUACCCAAAAAUAUUUUUCACUUUUCCUAAUGUCUUAUUUAAUUUUAUUUAAUUUUUAUUUUCUUAUUUAUUUAAUAUUAGUAUUUUAUUUUAAUUAUUUAUUCCAAGUGGUCCAUUUUAGCAUACAUUUUACUAUUGAUUUUUUUUUCAUGACUUAAAUUAUUUUUAGCUUUUGAUUUUUGGGAUGAAUGUUGACCACUGUUU
Molecule: long non-coding RNA, 241 nt
Filed under: Lathyrus oleraceus (garden pea)
Lineage: Eukaryota; Viridiplantae; Streptophyta; Magnoliopsida; Fabales; Fabaceae
Description: Pisum sativum (pea) long non-coding RNA (PSAT_LNC025962)
Source: RNAcentral